RNAcentral lists this ribosomal RNA (253 nucleotides) under uncultured bacterium. Its description in RNAcentral is "partial 16S ribosomal RNA". It matches the Rfam family "Bacterial small subunit ribosomal RNA", at positions 524 to 776 of the family's 1533-position model. The record is from RNAcentral.
UACGAAGGGGGCUAGCGUUGCUCGGAAUCACUGGGCGUAAAGCGCACGUAGGCGGAUUGUUAAGUCAGGGGUGAAAUCCUGGAGCUCAACUCCAGAACUGCCUUUGAUACUGGCGAUCUCGAGUCCGGGAGAGGUGAGUGGAACUGCGAGUGUAGAGGUGAAAUGCGUAGAUAUCAUUAGGAACGCCGGUGGCGAAAGCGAUCGACUGGACCUCUUCUGACGCUGAGGCGCGAAAGCCAGGGGAGCAAACGGG